CCAGUUCAUCUCUUGGAGCCUUUGAUCCAGGAGAUCCUCUCGAUCAUGAAUCUCGAGUGUCUUCUAGCAGAACGGAGGUAGGAACCCUCCAGGGGUGGAAUCAUGAUCAGACAGAGGGCUCUCCGCCCUCUACUUCUCCUUUCCGACGGAUACAGGGUGACUAGCCCAAGUGGGCUGCCCGAUCACCGAAUUCUGGAACUCUAGUGA
This 207-nucleotide long non-coding RNA is filed under the name Elaeis guineensis (African oil palm). Its description in RNAcentral is "long non-coding RNA (EGUI_LNC075985)". Lineage: Eukaryota; Viridiplantae; Streptophyta; Magnoliopsida; Arecales; Arecaceae. The record is from RNAcentral.